CAACUUUGAGCGGUGGACCACUCGGCUCGUGUGUCGAUGAAGAGUGCACC
This 50-nucleotide ribosomal RNA is filed under the name Schistosoma mansoni. Its description in RNAcentral is "partial 5.8S ribosomal RNA". Lineage: Eukaryota; Metazoa; Platyhelminthes; Trematoda; Strigeidida; Schistosomatidae. The record is from RNAcentral.